RNAcentral lists this ribosomal RNA (164 nucleotides) under Leucaena lanceolata var. lanceolata. Its description in RNAcentral is "5.8S ribosomal RNA". The stretch from base 1 to 107 matches the Rfam family "5.8S ribosomal RNA", at positions 50 to 154 of the family's 154-position model. From Rfam's summary of the family: 5.8S ribosomal RNA (5.8S rRNA) is a component of the large subunit of the eukaryotic ribosome. It is transcribed by RNA polymerase I as part of the 45S precursor that also contains 18S and 28S rRNA. Functionally, it is thought that 5.8S rRNA may be involved in ribosome translocation. Lineage: Eukaryota; Viridiplantae; Streptophyta; Magnoliopsida; Fabales; Fabaceae. The record is from RNAcentral.
GAAAUGUGAUACUUGGUGUGAAUUGGAGAAUCUUGUGAACCAUCGAGUCUUUGAACUCAAGUUGCGCCNGACGCUAUUAGGUUAAGGGCACGUUUGCCUGGGUGUCACGCAACGUCACCACCGCCCAUCCCACGAGUGCAGUGGAUGAUGGCUUCCUGUGAGCC